CCUACGGGAGGCAGCAGUGGGGGAUAUUGCACAAUGGGGGGAACCCUGAUGCAGCGACGCCGCGUGUGGGAAGACGGUCCUCUGGAUUGUAAACCACUGUCCCCAGGGACGAAAAUGACGGUCCCUGGGGAGGAAGCUCCGGCUAACUACGUGCCAGCAGCCGCGGUACUACGUAGGGAGCGAGCGUUGUCCGGAAUUCCUGGGUUUAAAGGGAGCGUAGGCGGGGAUGCAAGUUGGGGGUAAAAACUACCGGCUCAACUGGUAGUCGCACUCAAAACUGCAGCUCUUGAGUGAAGUAGAGGCAGGCGGAAUUCCUAGUGUAGCGGUGAAAUGCGUAGAUAUUAGGAGGAACACCAGUGGCGAAGGCGGCCUGCUGGGCUUUUACUGACGCUGAGGCUCGAAAGUGUGGGGAGCAAACAGGAUUAGAUACCCCAGUAGUC
RNAcentral lists this ribosomal RNA (440 nucleotides) under uncultured bacterium. RNAcentral's name for it is "partial 16S ribosomal RNA". It matches the Rfam family "Bacterial small subunit ribosomal RNA", at positions 338 to 795 of the family's 1533-position model. The record is from RNAcentral.